Long non-coding RNA from Homo sapiens (human), 1140 nucleotides. Ensembl annotates it as long intergenic non-protein coding RNA 1138. Lineage: Eukaryota; Metazoa; Chordata; Mammalia; Primates; Hominidae. The record is from Ensembl.
CUGCAGAUACAGUAGGAAGAUGGCAGUCUAUGACCAGGAAGAGGUUCCUCACCAUAACCCUACCAUGCUGGCACCUUGACCUUAGACUUCCAAACUCCAGAACUGUGAGAAAUGUCUGUUGUGGAUCAGCUACCCAGUUUAUGAUCGGCCCUUUCUUCAAAUAAGAGCAGUUGGAACAACAAAAGCUGUUCAGUUGUACCCUUGGAAUCCACGGAAAUCCUGGGUAGGGAAGCUCCAGUACCACCAACUGGAAAGACUGGGAAUGCCUAGUAGCUGGUACUGGCCAUUGUCGUAGGCUUUGUCCACUUUGACAAACUGAAGACGGGGACUCGACUCACCUUCGCCAGCCACAGGAGGACCUCCAGACGAGGACCGGACUCGCCGCCUUUCUUUCCCGUCAGAAAGGGAUCCCUUGCGGACAAGACCGAAUGGCCCCUAAGGCUUCUCUGCAGGUCCAACCGAAACAGGCCUGAAGUUCCAGGAUGGGCGAGAGGAUCCUCUUUGAGCGAAACCAGCCUUCUGCCUGGCUGGCCCUGGUCAACACACUCGGAAGAGGCCGAUUUGGAGGACAGAACGGAAGAAAAGACCUAAAGAACUGACACAUUUGUGCCUAGCAUAGUGAUGCUGUUGUCUGCAGAAGGGUCACAGCCUUCAGGGACUCUCCUGCCAGUGCUGUAUUUUGCCUGCACCCCUCUGGCUUGGCUUCUGCACUGAGACCCUCCUAACAAAUGAUCCUCAUCCAAUCACUUAAAGGCCUGAAUAGAACCAAAAGUCUGACCUGCCCAUGAGUAAGAGAGAGCUCCUUCUGCCUGAUUGCUUCAGCUGAGAUAUCAGCCUUUUCCUGCCUUUGGAAUUGAACUGCAACACUGGCUCUUCCUGGGCCUCAAGCCUGCCAGCUUUUGAACUGUAAUCACACCAUCAUCUCUCCUGGUUCUCAGGCCUUUGGACUCAAAUCAGAAACACACCAUGGGCUCUCCUGUGUCUCAAGCUUGCCAACUGUGAUCUUGAGACUUCUCAGCCUCCAUAAUCACAUGAGUCAAUUGUUGGUUCUGUUUCUCUGGAGAACCCUAAUCCAUCACUUUACAUAUUUCUUCCAUUACACAUAUUGUUUCCCAGCAUAUUAAAUAAUUUACUGAUUAU